UUAAGUUAAUAAGGGCGCACGGUGGAUGCCUUGGCACUAGAAGCCGAUGAAGGACGUGACUAACGACGAAAUGCUUUGGGGAGCUGUAAGUGAGCAAUGAUCCAGAGAUGUCCGAAUGGGGGAACCCGGCAGGUAAUGCCUGUCACUCAUUACUGUUAAGGUAAUGUAGAGGAAGACGCAGUGAACUGAAACAUCUAAGUAGCUGUAGGAAGAGAAAGCAAAAGCGAUUGCCUUAGUAGCGGCGAGCGAAACGGCAAGAGGGCAAACCGAAGAGUUUACUCUUCGGGGUUGUAGGACUGCAACGUGGACUUAAAGAUUAUAGAAGAACUACCUGGGAAGGUAGGCCAAAGAGAGUAAUAGCCUCGUAUUCGAAAUAGUCUUUAUACCUAGCAGUAUCCUGAGUACGGCGAGACACGAGAAAUCUCGUCGGAAUCUGGGAGGACCAUCUCCCAACCCUAAAUACUCUCUAGUGACCGAUAGUGAACCAGUACCGUGAGGGAAAGGUGAAAAGCACCCCGGGAGGGGAGUGAAAUAGAACCUGAAACCGUGUGCCUACAACAAGUUCGAGCCCGUUAAUGGGUGAGAGCGUGCCUUUUGUAGAAUGAACCGGCGAGUUACGAUAUGAUGCGAGGUUAAGUUGAAGAGACGGAGCCGUAGGGAAACCGAGUCUUAAUAGGGCGCAUUAGUAUCAUGUCGUAGACCCGAAACCAUGUGACCUACCCAUGAGCAGGUUGAAGGUGAGGUAAAACUCACUGGAGGACCGAACCAGGGCACGUUGAAAAGUGCUUGGAUGACUUGUGGGUAGCGGAGAAAUUCCAAACGAACUUGGAGAUAGCUGGUUCUCUCCGAAAUAGCUUUAGGGCUAGCGUCGAUGUUAAGUCUCUUGGAGGUAGAGCACUGUUUGGGUGAGGGGUCCAUCCCGGAUUACCAAUCUCAGAUAAACUCCGAAUGCCAAUGAGAUAUAAUCGGCAGUCAGACUGCGAGUGCUAAGAUCCGUAGUCGAAAGGGAAACAGCCCAGACCACCAGCUAAGGUCCCAAAAUAUAUGUUAAGUGGAAAAGGAUGUGGGGUUGCACAGACAACUAGGAUGUUAGCUUAGAAGCAGCUAUUCAUUCAAAGAGUGCGUAAUAGCUCACUAGUCGAGUGACCCUGCGCCGAAAAUGUACCGGGGCUAAAACAUAUUACCGAAGCUGUGGAUACCUUUAUAGGUAUGGUAGGAGAGCGUUCUAUGUGCGAAGAAGGUGUACCGUGAGGAGUGCUGGAGCGCAUAGAAGUGAGAAUGCCGGUAUGAGUAGCGAAAGACAGGUGAGAAUCCUGUCCACCGUAAGACUAAGGUUUCCAGGGGAAGGCUCGUCCGCCCUGGGUUAGUCGGGACCUAAGGAGAGACCGAAAGGUGUAUCCGAUGGACAACAGGUUGAUAUUCCUGUACUAGAGUAUAUAGUGAUGGAGGGACGCAGUAGGCUAACUAAACCAGACGAUUGGAAGUGUCUGGCCAAGCAGUGAGGUGUGAUAUGAGUCAAAUGCUUAUAUCUUUAACAUUGAGCUGUGAUGGGGAGCGAAGUUUAGUAGCGAAGUUAGUGAUGUCACACUGCCGAGAAAAGCUUCUAGCGUUAAUUAUACUCUACCCGUACCGCAAACCGACACAGGUAGUCGAGGCGAGUAGCCUCAGGUGAGCGAGAGAACUCUCGUUAAGGAACUCGGCAAAAUGGCCCCGUAACUUCGGGAGAAGGGGCGCUGACUGAUGGUCAGCCGCAGUGAAUAGGCCCAAGCAACUGUUUAUCAAAAACACAGCUCUCUGCUAAAUCGUAAGAUGAUGUAUAGGGGGUGACGCCUGCCCGGUGCUGGAAGGUUAAGAGGAGUGCUUAGCGUAAGCGAAGGCAUGAAUUGAAGCCCCAGUAAACGGCGGCCGUAACUAUAACGGUCCUAAGGUAGCGAAAUUCCUUGUCGGGUAAGUUCCGACCCGCACGAAAGGCGUAAUGAUUUGGGCACUGUCUCAACGAGAGACUCGGUGAAAUUUUAGUACCUGUGAAGAUGCAGGUUACCCGCGACAGGACGGAAAGACCCCAUGGAGCUUUACUGCAGUUUGAUAUUGAGUAUCUGUACCACAUGUACAGGAUAGGUAGGAGCCUAUGACCUCGGGACGCCAGUUUCGAGUGAGGCGUUGUUGGGAUACUACCCUUGUGUUAUGGCUACUCUAACCCAGAUAGGUUAUCCCUAUCGGAGACAGUGUCUGACGGGCAGUUUGACUGGGGCGGUCGCCUCCUAAAAGGUAACGGAGGCGCCCAAAGGUUCCCUCAGAAUGGUUGGAAAUCAUUCGCAGAGUGUAAAGGUAUAAGGGAGCUUGACUGCGAGAGCUACAACUCGAGCAGGGACGAAAGUCGGGCUUAGUGAUCCGGUGGUUCCGUAUGGAAGGGCCAUCGCUCAACGGAUAAAAGCUACCCUGGGGAUAACAGGCUUAUCUCCCCCAAGAGUUCACAUCGACGGGGAGGUUUGGCACCUCGAUGUCGGCUCGUCGCAUCCUGGGGCUGUAGUCGGUCCCAAGGGUUGGGCUGUUCGCCCAUUAAAGCGGCACGCGAGCUGGGUCAGAACGUCGUGAGACAGUUCGGUCCCUAUCCGUCGCGGGCGUAGGAAAUUUGAGAGGAUCUGCUCCUAGUACGAGAGGACCAGAGUGGACUUACCGCUGGUGUACCAGUUGUUCUGCCAAGAGCAUCGCUGGGUAGCUAUGUAGGGAAGGGAUAAACGCUGAAAGCAUCUAAGUGUGAAGCCCACCUCAAGAUGAGAUUUCCCAUGAUUUAUAUCAGUAAGAGCCCUGAGAGAUGAUCAGGUUGAUAGGUUAGAAGUGGAAGUGUGGUGACACAUGUAGCGGACUAAUACUAAUAGCUCGAGGACUUAUCCAA
RNAcentral lists this ribosomal RNA (2896 nucleotides) under Streptococcus thermophilus. RNAcentral's name for it is "23S ribosomal RNA". It matches the Rfam family "Bacterial large subunit ribosomal RNA". The record is from RNAcentral. Lineage: Bacteria; Bacillati; Bacillota; Bacilli; Lactobacillales; Streptococcaceae.